Molecule: ribosomal RNA, 272 nt
Filed under: uncultured soil bacterium
Lineage: Bacteria
Description: partial 16S ribosomal RNA
Rfam family: Bacterial small subunit ribosomal RNA
Source: RNAcentral
AGAAUCAACGCUGGCGGCGUGCCUAACACAUGCAAGUCGUACGCGAAAGGGGAGCAAUCCCUGAGUAGAGUGGUAAACGGGUGAGUAACACGUGGGUGACCUGCCUCAGAGUGGGGGAUAACGUCCCGAAAGGGACGCUAAUACCGCAUAACAUCCUGCCCUUGGAAGGGUGGAGAUCAAAGCCGGGGAUCGUAAGACCUGGCGCUUGGAGAGGGGCCCGCGUCUGAUUAGCUAGUUGGUAGGGUAAUGGCCUACCAAGGCGACGAUCAGUA